GUCAGCUCGUGUCGUGAGAUGUUGGGUUAAGUCCCGCAACGAGCGCAACCCUUAUCCUUAGUAGCCAGCACGUGAAGGUGGGCACUCUAGGGAGACUGCCAGGGAUAACCUGGAGGAAGGUGGGGAUGACGUCAAAUCAUCAUGCCCCUUAUGAUUUGGGCUACACACGUGCUACAAUGGCGUAAACAAAGGGAAGCGAGACAGUGAUGUGGAGCAAAUCCCAAAAAUAACGUCCCAGUUCGGACUGUAGUCUGCAACCCGACUACACGAAGCUGGAAUCGCUAGUAAUCGCGAAUCAGAAUGUCGCGGUGAAUACGUUCCCGGGUCUUGUACACACCGCCCGUCACACCAUGGGAGUCAGCAACGCCCGAAGUCAGUGACCCAACCGAAAGGAGGGAGCUGCCGAAGGCGGGGCAGGUAACUGGGGUGAAGUCGUAACAAGGUAGCCGUAUCGGAAGGUGCGGCUGGAUCACCUCCUUUCUAAGGAA
This 488-nucleotide ribosomal RNA is filed under the name Enterocloster clostridioformis. RNAcentral's name for it is "bacterial SSU rRNA". It matches the Rfam family "Bacterial small subunit ribosomal RNA", at positions 1054 to 1533 of the family's 1533-position model. Lineage: Bacteria; Bacillati; Bacillota; Clostridia; Lachnospirales; Lachnospiraceae. The record is from RNAcentral.